CCUACGGGAGAAAGGGGGCUUCGGCUCCCGCUAUUGGAUGAGCCUAUGUCGGAUUAGCUAGUUGGUGAGGUAAAGGCUCACCAAGGCAACGAUCCGUAGCUGGUCUGAGAGGAUGAUCAGCCACAUCGGGACUGAGACACGGCCCGAACUCCUACGGGAGGCAGCAGUGGGGAAUAUUGGACAAUGGGGGCAACCCUGAUCCAGCCAUGCCGCGUGUGUGAAGAAGGCCCUCGGGUUGUAAAGCACUUUCAGCGAGGAAGAACGCCUGGCGGUUAAUACCCGCCAGGAAAGACAUCACUCGCAGAAGAAGCACCGGCUAACUCCGUGCCAGCAGCCGCGGUAAUACGGAGGGUGCAAGCGUUAAUCGGAAUUACUGGGCGUAAAGCGCGCGUAGGUGGCUUGAUAAGCCGGUUGUGAAAGCCCCGGGCUCAACCUGGGAACGGCAUCCGGAACUGUCAAGCUAGAGUGCAGGAGAGGAAGGUAGAAUUCCCGGUGUAGCGGUGAAAUGCGUAGAGAUCGGGAGGAAUACCAGUGGCGAAGGCGGCCUUCUGGACUGACACUGACACUGAGGUGCGAAAGCGUUGGUAGCAAACAGGAUUAGAUACCCUGGUAGUCCACGCCGUAAACGAUGUCGACCAGCCGUUGGGUGCCUAGCGCACUUUGUGGCGAAGUUAACGCGAUAAGUCGACCGCCUGGGGAGUACGGCCGCAAGGUUAAAACUCAAAUGAAUUGACGGGGGCCCGCACAAGCGGUGGAGCAUGUGGUUUAAUUCGAUGCAACGCGAAGAACCUUACCUACCCUUGACAUCCUGCGAACCCGGAAGAGAUUCCGGGGUGCCUUCGGGAACGCAGAGACAGGUGCUGCAUGGCUGUCGUCAGCUCGUGUUGUGAAAUGUUGGGUUAAGUCCCGUAACGAGCGCAACCCUUGUCCUUAUUUGCCAGCGAGUAAUGUCGGGAACUCUAAGGAGACUGCCGGUGACAAACCGGAGGAAGGUGGGGACGACGUCAAGUCAUCAUGGCCCUUACGGGUAGGGCUACACACGUGCUACAAUGGCCGGUACAAAGGGCGGCGAGCUCGCGAGAGUCAGCGAAUCCCUUAAAGCCGGUCUCAGUCCGGAUCGGAGUCUGCGACUCGACUCCGUGAAGUCGGAAUCGCUAGUAAUCGUGAAUCAGAAUGUCACGGUGAAUACGUUCCCGGG
RNAcentral lists this ribosomal RNA (1198 nucleotides) under uncultured Halomonas sp. RNAcentral describes it as "bacterial SSU rRNA". It matches the Rfam family "Bacterial small subunit ribosomal RNA", at positions 193 to 1378 of the family's 1533-position model. Lineage: Bacteria; Pseudomonadati; Pseudomonadota; Gammaproteobacteria; Oceanospirillales; Halomonadaceae. The record is from RNAcentral.